This 307-nucleotide long non-coding RNA is filed under the name Homo sapiens (human). RNAcentral's name for it is "HSALNT0374912". The record is from RNAcentral. Lineage: Eukaryota; Metazoa; Chordata; Mammalia; Primates; Hominidae.
GUCUCAGAGUGGAUAUGGCAACAGCUACACAUGACCUCACCAGCAUGGCAGUCUCAGGUUACUGGUACUUCUUAGGUCUCAGCUGAGGACUCCAGUGCAGGUGUUGCAAGACAGCAGACGUAGCACUGCUUAUGUGUAUCCUGAAGUCCCAUGUGUAUCCUGAAGUCCCAGAAAGCUGCUUCAAGUAGAUUCCAGUGGAGAAGGGAGUCACCAAGGCUGGACAGUCAUUUAUCCAUGGCAGGACUAGCAAAAAAAUCUGCACCAUCUCUCAUCGCACACACGUGGAUCUCAGAAGGCGACAUGAAGG